CAGGGAUUGCCCUAGUAACGGCGAGUGAAGCGGCAACAGCUCAAAUUUGAAAUCUGGCACUUGUGUCCGAGUUGUAAUUUGUAGAGGAUGAUUUUGGUGCGGUAUCUUCCGAGUUCCUUGGAACAGGACGCCUUAGAGGGUGAGAGCCCCGUACGGUUGAAUGCCUAGCCUCUGUAAAUCUCCUUCGACGAGUCGAGUAGUUUGGGAAUGCUGCUCUAAAUGGGAGGUAAAUUUCUUCUAAAGCUAAAUACUGGCCAGAGACCGAUAGCGCACAAGUAGAGUGAUCGAAAGAUGAAAAGCACUUUGAAAAGAGGGUUAAAUAGCACGUGAAAUUGUUGAAAGGGAAGGAUUUAUGACCAGACUUUUUCUGGGCGGAUCAUCCGGUGUUCUCACCGGUGCACUUUGCCCAGUUUAGGCCAGCAUCGACUUUCGGAGGGGGAUAAAAGCUUUAGGAAUGUGGCUCCCUCGGGAGUGUUAUAGCCUAUUGUAUAAUACCUUUCUGGGGGUCGAGGUACGCGCUUCUGCAAGGAUGCUGGCGUAAUGGUUAUCAAUCACCCGUCUUGAAACACGGACCAAGGAGUCGAACAUUUGUGCAAGUGUUUGGGUGUUAAACCCUCACGCGUAAUGAAAGUGAACGGAGGUGAGAGCCCUUACGGGUGCAUCAUCGACCGAUCCUGAAGUUUUCGGAUGGAUUUGAGUAAGAGCAUAACUGUUCGGACCCGAAAGAUGGUGAACUAUGCGUGGAUAGGGUGAAGCCAGAGGAAACUCUGGUGGAGGCUCGCAGCGGUUCUGACGUGCAAAUCGAUCGUCAAAUCUGCGCAUGGGGGCGAAAGA
Molecule: ribosomal RNA, 834 nt
Filed under: Nonappendiculata quercina
Lineage: Eukaryota; Fungi; Ascomycota; Sordariomycetes; Amphisphaeriales; Sporocadaceae
Description: partial 28S ribosomal RNA
Rfam family: Eukaryotic large subunit ribosomal RNA
Source: RNAcentral